Molecule: ribosomal RNA, 445 nt
Filed under: uncultured bacterium
Lineage: Bacteria
Description: partial 16S ribosomal RNA
Rfam family: Bacterial small subunit ribosomal RNA
Source: RNAcentral
GUGAGGAAUAUUGCGCAAUGGAGGCAACUCUGACGCAGCCAUGCCGCGUGCAGGAAGAAGGCGCUACGCGUUGUAAACUGCUUUUAACCGGGAAGAAACCCCAGGACGUGUCCUGGGUUGACGGUACCGGAGGAAUAAGCACCGGCUAACUUCGUGCCAGCAGCCGCGGUAAUACGAAGGGUGCAAGCGUUAUCCGGAUUCAUUGGGUUUAAAGGGUGCGUAGGCGGAGUGUUAAGUCAGUGGUGAAAUCCUGCAGCUUAACUGUAGACUUGCCAUUGAUACUGGCGCUCUUGAGUGCGCUUGAAGUGGGCGGAAUGUGCCGUGUAGCGGUGAAAUGCUUAGAUAUGGCACAGAACACCAAUUGCGAAGGCAGCUCACUAAGGCGAUACUGACGCUGAGGCACGAAAGCGUGGGGAUCGAACAGGAUUAGAAACCCGAGUAGUCC